Molecule: ribosomal RNA, 508 nt
Filed under: uncultured bacterium
Lineage: Bacteria
Description: partial 16S ribosomal RNA
Rfam family: Bacterial small subunit ribosomal RNA
Source: RNAcentral
AUUGAACGCUGGCGGCAUGCCUUACACAUGCAAGUCGAACGGCAGCGGGGGAGAAGCUUGCUUUUCCUGCCGGCGAGUGGCGAACGGGUGAGUAAUACAUCGGAACGUGCCCUGUAGUGGGGGAUAACUAGUCGAAAGAUUAGCUAAUACCGCAUACGACCUGAGGGUGAAAGCAGGGGACCGUAAGGCCUCAUGCUAUAGGAGCGGCCGAUGUCUGAUUCGCUAGUUGGUGGGGUAAAGGCCUACCAAGGCGACGAUCAGUAGCUGGUCUGAGAGGACGAUCAGCCAAACUGGGACUGAGACACGGCCCAGACUCCUACGGGAGGCAGCAGUGGGGAAUUUUGGACAAUGGGCGAAAGCCUGAUCCAGCAAUGCCGCGUGUGUGAAGAAGGCCUUCGGGUUGUAAAGCACUUUUGUCCGGAAAGAAAUGGCUCUGGUUAAUACCUGGGGUCGAUGACGGUACCGGAAGAAUAAGGACCGGCUAACUACGUGCCAGCCGCCGCCGUAA